AACUGAUACAUGUAGUUAUCAUAAAUGAUUAACUUUCAAUAAUUUUAAUAACCCCCAAAAAAUCAUGAACUUUAAAUUUAUUCAUGUAAAUAGAUAUAUUGAUAUAUACAUUCGCCAUUUGGGAAAUACAUCUUGUAAUUCAACUUGUGUUUGAUCUUAUACCACCGUUCCCCAUAGGUAUUAGGCCCAUAGGUACUAGGGUGAACGGGAAUCAGAGCAAAUUGACACUGAUACCCUGCUUACAAUCUGUUUUUUAGUGGCUGACUGCUGCAAAUGAAUGGUAUACAUUUUUGUUAAGGGGGUAGCUGAAGCACGCCUCCGGUUGCGGGAGUUUCUCACUGCAUUGAAAACCCAUUAGUGGCCUUCGACUGAUGCCUUCUCUUUGAUGGUUGUUGUCUCUUUGACACAUUCCCCAUUUCCAUUCUCAAUGUUAUACUUUAUCAUAUUCAUUGUAUCUGAUAAAAAUUAAUAGGUUCUAGAUAGACCAACAUCUAUGAUGAGAUUGAUUUAUAACUAGUAUGACUCAUUAAAUGCAAAAUCUAAAAUAAGAUUAUAGUGGUUUUGACAGUUGUUAUCAGACAAAAAGAACCCUAGCCUGCUUACUUGUCAACCCUCAUGCAGGAGUGAACCUUUGAUUAUUAUUGGUGUUAGUAUACUGAAAAUAUUAUGUAACAAACAUAGCUCAGGAGCUUGCAAUUCAGUGGUUGUCGUUUGUUUAUGUGUUACAUAUUUGUUUUUUGUUCAUUUUUUUAUAUAAAUAAGGCCCUUAGAUUUCUCGUUUGAAUUGUUUUACAGUGUCAUUUCAGGGCCUUUUAUAGCUGACUAUGCGGUAUGGGCUUUGCUCAUUGUUAAAGGACGUACAGUUACCUAUAAUUUUUCAUUUCUGUGUCAUUUUGGUCUCUUGUAGAGAGUUGUCUCAUUGGCAAUCAUCCCACCUCUUCUUUUUUAUAUAGCUGUACAUAUCUUAUUACAUCCUUUCUACAUCCAAACAAAAAUGGAAAAAAAAUGUAAAUAAAAAAUUUCUCAGGAGUUUUCCUUCUUCAGUAUUGACUUUUUUUCUGGCUUCUUAGUUUCGAUUUUAUUUACUAAUGACGAUUUGUAUUUGUAAAUUACUGGAAGAAUUAAAUAUAUGUGAUUAUAUGUUACCUUUGGAAACUAUGACAUCUAAAGUAUCUUGAAAAAUUGUUUAAAUUCUGUUUUUAAGAUAUAUCAAUUGCCAACAAACGCCAAUGGGCGAAGGUCAAAUGACCUUACUAGGAACUCUGCAGAUUUUAUCGUGAGUGUAUUCGUAAUCAAAGCUCUUGAACAUAUAUUUUAGAAAACACACAAUACAUUAUUGUGUAUAUGACCUUUGUUUUUUCCUGUUUCAAAUUUAUAUUCCGCAAAGAUUCAAGAUUUUUUUGUUUCUUAAAUACUAAUAAUCAAGAUUAAGAAAUGAAAAGACAAAAAUUUUAAAAUUCAAUAAAACAGAUCUAUGGAAACUGUGAAUGGCAAAAUUUCAAACUUUGGUUGUCCAUUUCGACCAGCUGAAGCCGGCUCGGCAGUACGAGUAAGUUCUCUUUUGAAAAUGAAAAAAAAACCACUAAAAGAUUAAGAUCUUUUAAGUUAAGGUAGAUUCAUGGUAUACCGCCAUCUUGGAUUGUACAAUCACAGUACAAAAUCGCUAGUUAUUUGCCAAUCAGCAAUUUGGAAACAGAUUUGCAAUUUAAUGUUAGACUGUUUAUUUUAUAUAAAGAAAACUUGCUAAUUUAUUGUAUUAUUAAAAAAUUUUAAACAAAUAUCACCUUUUUGUUUUCAAAAAUCAUCUUUUAAAUGAGCAUUUAAGGGAGUCACUCUUUUAGCACAAAAUUUAUCUGGGCUAAUAGGGAAAUUUUUUUUUUUACUUGUGGCAAGAAACAAGUUCGGUGACACCCAGUUUUCUUUUUUUUUUCUUAAAACAUAUUAUAAAACCUAUCUUCUCACAAUUUUUUUCAAAUUCUAUCUCAUGAAAAACGAAAAAAAACACUAAAAGAUUUAGAUCUUUAUAAGUAAGUAUAUAUUAAUUUUUGGAAUUUAAUUUCUUUUCAUAUUGUUCAUCAAAAAUAUUUCACCGAAUAAGGUCCAAAAAUGAAGGUAAAGAUAGAAUUUUAGUGUCAGUUUAAAAUUUUAGAUGUUCAGGACGUAUUAAUGUUGAAAAUAUGCCACACACCGCUAUAUUUUGACCUUUGAUAAAAUAGUACUACUAGAACUAGUCAAAGCUGCAAAGUCAGCUUGUGCCUUAUACAAACUGUCACUUUCUUAAAUUGUGGUUGAACUAAUGUUUAACAAUGAUUAGUGCUCUUGCUCUUGUAAAAACUGUGCUUUAUAUGUUUAUUUAAAAUCAUGUUCUCUUGUGACAUUUAAACAAGUGUGCUUUAACUGUUGUGUAAAAUAACUUAUUGAUUUAGUGCUUUAGUAUAAACAUUAUAAGAAACAUUCAACAUAGGGACUAUUGUUUGAAAUUUUAUAUUGUUCUGUUAUUGUAACUUGUUAUUACAUAUCUUUAAAUAUAUAUGAUGAAUAAAAAUUUGAAAACCC
This 2556-nucleotide long non-coding RNA is filed under the name Mytilus galloprovincialis (Mediterranean mussel). The record is from RNAcentral. Lineage: Eukaryota; Metazoa; Mollusca; Bivalvia; Mytilida; Mytilidae.